UUUAGGGUUUCUUCAUCAAACUAUUCACUUCACAACUACAAACGUAUCCUUUAUAUUUCCCAAAUUAAAUUCAUAAACUGUUCAUCUUUCUCUAUCUAUACAUCCUCCCGUCUUUACUCAGCCUAUCAAUAAUGGUUGGGUUUCGAAGUUCUCACCAAUAUAUAGUUCAUCACAGAAGGAGUCCUUCCUCUACCUGCUUCCGUUGCUCAAGCCGUCUGCGACUCAACUUUUGAGGCUCUUUGACUUGCCUGGAAUUCUCAAUUCAUUGUUGCUCGCCUCCUCAGCUUCUGGGAGCAUCAGACAGCCUGUCUCAGUUUCUGGGAGACGCCUAACGUCAAGAAAAAUGCAGUGUGGGUUUUGUCAAGCCAGAGCCAAAUCGGCAGACAUCUCCAUGCGCUGGACAACGACAUCAAACUUCAUGCUCUGCCGGAGAAACAUCACGUGACACAGCCAGAGAGUUGGAACCAUCACACGCUUUGGAGGAAGACGAUGGUAAUGGAGAGUCAAACGCAAACACUGGUGUGGCUUUGGUAUGGAGAGGUUCUCAGAUGUGUCUAAGGAAGAAAGAAGGAUCUCGAUUCCAUAUAGUAUAACAUCUAACUUUGAAAGAAUGGUCAGAAGCACUCAUUCACCGUGAAGCCUGAUUUUUCUGUUGGGAGUAAUCAGAAGCCUUCUGCUGCAAGAAAAGAACUCAGGUGUCCUUUGAUUUCUACUAGGGAGCCGUUUAAGUGGUGUUGGUUUCAUGUCGGUGCAACUACACAAUGAUCUAUUGCAGGAUUCAGCAGAGGCAGUUGCAACAGCUUAGAGCUUCUACAAUGGCUGAGAAAGUGGAAGAGUCUUUGUGCCUCGAGAUGAAACUCUGAGAAAUAGCAUGAUAAUCUCCUUUUCAACAACCAUCAUGAGUUCGGGAGUCCAUUAACACUUUACGUUUUUUCUUUUAUAUUUCUUAAAUUUGUGGAGACAGCCCUGAUGUCUUCUGAUUUGGUUUUGGUUUUGUAGGUUCAAAGCCUAGAAUUUAUCCAGCGUUCAAUAUCUAACAAGGAAGACAAUUAGAUUCUUUAAAAUUUUGAUUGGGUAAAUGGCUGUAGAGUGUACAAGUAAUGCCUACAUUAUUGAAUAUAUGUAACAGGUACUACUCAAUGUACAGACGUGUGGAGAAAUGUGAUUGAGUUUGGAUUUGAACUGGAGAUACAUUCAUCCAUCGUUAACAAGUGUGGUGGAGUGUAAAAGGUACUACUAAAUGUACAGACAUGUGGAGAAACUAGCACAAGAGAUUAGGAAAGGUGCUGCUUCUGUUGAUAUGGUGUCGUUGCCAAACUAUGGCAGGUACCAGGGACGCUCCAAGAAGAUCUGCUCUGUAAGAUGAGUGCACCACCAAACAGUGAUGCUCCUCUUAUCACCUCCAACGACCUUGCCGAGGCUGAUGCGUUUGUCUUUGGCUUCCCAACAAGGUUCAGUAUGAUGGCUGCUCAGUUCAAGGCAUUCUUAGGUGCAACUGGUGGUCUCUGAAGGACUCAACAACUUGCUGGUAAGCCAGCCAGAAUAUUCUAGAGCACCAGGGUCUCAAGGUGCUGGUCAAGAAACCACCGCGUAUGUUUCUUUUCCAAACCAACACCUCAUUAACUACACUUGCUUCGGUUCUUAUGUUUUGUAGUGUUUACUUGUGUUAUCAUUGAUUUCUAACACAAUUCGGUUUUGUAAUAUUUUUUAUCAGGAGUCAAAAACUAUAUCUUUAGAACUAACUCUAUUUUUAUAAAUCUUGAUCUUAUACCAGUUAUUUGUCUGGGCGUUGCUCAAAAAAAAAAGAUAACUUAUUUGUCUAGGCAAGAUAAUAACGCUAUCAUACAAAUUCUACUAACCCCUUUUCUGAGGCCGACAAAACACCAAGAAAAUACGAAACCAAAUAUCGCCCAUAUAAGUGUGUAAAUACUUUUUCAAACUAUUGAAAAUAUAGCAACCUAAUCCAAAAUCAAAAUCGAAAAUUCCAUACACUGUUCAGAUUCACGCAUUCAAAUUGAACUCAAAAUUUUAUUAGGUUUCUCAUAAAAUUAUUUGAAUGGUUCCUAUAUUUUUGAACUGAAAUCAAAAACCAUAAUCGAACUAGAACCAAACCAAAAC
This is an RNA transcript of Brassica rapa (field mustard), 2118 nucleotides long. RefSeq lists it as uncharacterized. Lineage: Eukaryota; Viridiplantae; Streptophyta; Magnoliopsida; Brassicales; Brassicaceae. The record is from RefSeq and is a predicted model, not a curated record.